Molecule: long non-coding RNA, 1275 nt
Organism: Acanthopagrus latus (yellowfin seabream)
Lineage: Eukaryota; Metazoa; Chordata; Actinopteri; Spariformes; Sparidae
Exons: 2
Source: RefSeq, a predicted model, not a curated record
UUUCCUUUACAAACGAGAGUAAAGUGAAUCCUGGAGUCUGUCUGAUUAAAGCGAGGCAGAUUACAUCUGAGCACCUGUGAUUUGCUGGACUACAGUUACACACCUGUCUGCUGAUAACCAGGCUCGGUUUACCUGCCGGGACGAUAUCUGCCCCAUCAGACAGCUGCCAGACUGCUAAUGAAGAGACCUGACGAGGCCGAGCGGACCGGCCGGACCGCCCAGGUACAGCUGAGGCUGCAGUGUUUUUCAGCACAACACACAUGAAAUCUUAUAUUUCACUGCCUGGUCGUUGGUGUGAACCGCCUCAGAGGUCCGACUGGCUCCAGUGAGACCAGAACCAAGAACAACAAGAAGAGCUCGAGCUGCAACGAUGUCGACAAUAAAAGUUUUAUUAUCAAAACACUUUGAAAUCAGUUAAAGUGCUUUAAAGAAAAUAAAGUGAUUAAAAGGAGAAAAGAGCAGAAAACAAACUGCUCGUGUUCAUGAUCGAAACAGAAACAAGAAAUAAACCGGACAGAACAUCUUAAAGGGACAGUACGUAAUCCGAGACACUCCUACUGUGAGCCGAGCAGCGUGGAGUUAGCCUAGCUUAGCACGAACUCGGAGCUAAAGCCGACUUCAGUUUGUAGUUUGCUAAAUGAGAAACAUUAAACGAGUUCUGCAUCUUUCAGAAGAAUCUCGAAUCUGACGAGAAGUUUUAUCUGUUGUGAUAUAAUCUGGAAUUAAAGGACCAGUUCAACGUUUUGGGUAAAACAUUUAUUUUCUGUCCGUGAGUGAGAUGAGAAGAUGGUUUUGUGACAUGACCUGGAUUUAAUUUACCUCCAGCAGAGUUCAGACAGAAUCUUUGACCAUCGUUCUUAAAUCUGAGGAUGAGUUUUUAAAAUCUGUGCCAAUAAAUCUAAGUUUUAGUAAAAUGUUUGUUUCUUUUUCUUCUGUGCUGACAGGAAAUCACUCAGAGUGAAUCACAUCUGGAAGCUAUUUGUAUUUUAAAGUUUCCUGUUAAUCAAAUAUCUUCAGAGUUGUUUCUCCUGCAUUUCCAGUCUUUAUGCUAAGCUAGGCUAAUCACAUCCUGACAGCUUCUGAUCUCACUUUUGGAAAGAGAGAAAAUAAACUUAUUUCCCAAAAUGCUGAACUUCUUCUUUAAAGCCUCGGAGCGACACAAUCUAAAAUUGAAAACAGAAACCGAUCAAAGUGAAUUUUUCAUUCUGAUCAUAGAAAUCAGGAGGAUCGAUGUGUGGAACAAGUUUCUGUUUUGACGCUGUAGAUCUGGAGAAU